Clostridiales bacterium GWE2_32_10 is the source of this 84-nucleotide non-coding RNA. Lineage: Bacteria; Bacillati; Bacillota; Clostridia; Eubacteriales. The record is from Rfam.
GCCGAAGUGGUGGAACUGGCAGACGCGCUGGACUCAAAAUCCAGUCUCCGCAAGGGGGUGCGGGUUCGAUUCCCGCCUUCGGCA